RNAcentral lists this ribosomal RNA (253 nucleotides) under uncultured bacterium. RNAcentral describes it as "partial 16S ribosomal RNA". It matches the Rfam family "Bacterial small subunit ribosomal RNA", at positions 524 to 776 of the family's 1533-position model. The record is from RNAcentral.
UACGAAGGGGGCUAGCGUUGUUCGGAAUCACUGGGCGUAAAGCGCAUGUAGGCGGGUUGGAAAGUCGGGUGUGAAAUCCCGAGGCUCAACCUCGGAACUGCACUCGAAACUGCUGGUCUCGAGUCCCGGAGAGGGUAGUGGAAUUCCCGGUGUAGGGGUGAAAUCCGUAGAUAUCGGGAGGAACACCAGUGGCGAAGGCGGCCACCUGGACGGUGACUGACGCUGAGACGCGAAAGCGUGGGGAGCAAACAGG